CGGGGGGUGGCGGGCCCGCGGCGUUGGGGGGCGGCUGCGCAAGCCGCACCCCCAUUUCCACUCCGGGGUGGCGGGGCGCGCGCGCGGUCACCCCCGGGGCAGUCGCUUGCUCGCGCUGGCUGCGUCUGCGGAAGUUGCGGUGGGGCGUCUGCACGCCCGGGGGCACUUCACCUGACUGGGGGCCCCGCGAGCCCCCUCCCGUUGAGAAGCAAUUCAGAAAACUUCCAGCCUAAGAGUAAACUUGCUGCCGAGGGCGACGCCCUACGUCCUGAGUCCUGGCGGAGGGGCCACGGGGCUCUGUGCGACGGGUGACAAAAACAUGCCUGCCGACACCAGCCGUUCUUGGAAAUGUGUCCUGGCUGUUUACAAAAUAGCUUUAUUGAGACAUAAUUUCCGCACCGUAAAAUUCACCCGUUUUACGUGUACACUUCACAGGUAUUUAUUGUGUUUGCGGUGCAGGCAUCACAAUCUAAUUUUGGAGCAUUUCCACCGUUCCGAAAGGAAACCUCGUGCCCAGUAGCGAUCCCUCCCCGCAGCCACUGAUUUACUUUCUGUCUCUACAAGUUUGUUCUGGACGCUUCCUGGAAAUGGAACAAUGCAGUACUCCGCCUUUUGCCUCCGGCUUUUCCCCCUCCUACCAUCAUGUUUUUGAUAUUCGUCCAGGUAGUGGCAUUUAUCAAUGCUUCUGUCCUUUUAUGUUGCCAGAUAAUACUCCAUUGUGUGCGUAUACAGUGGUUUGACUUAACCAGUCCAUCCAUUCAUCGUUGUUUGCAGUUUGGGGUUUGGUGAACAGGACUGCCACGUACAAGUCUUUGCGCGCAGGAUGUCGGAGAAGAGAGACGGAGGUGUGCGUCGGCAACCUUCCCCUGAAACCUUGAGGUGUUCUUCUGUCCACCGCUGCUCGUCCUUGGCCCCCCUUUAUGACUUAGCAGCCUGCGGUCACCUGAUGUCACCAGGACCGAAAGACACUUCAGAAACGUGGACGUGCCGGUGAGGAGGCUCAUCGGCUCCCCCCGUCUGCCUUGGACGUGGCCAGUUUGGGCCCAGAAAGUUCUGUGCCUCGCACGCUUCCCCUUCCCGCCCCACGUGACCCUGAGUGGGGGUCACCCUGCCUGCUGCUCUGGAUGGAGGGGGCUCGCCAGGGUGUAAGUGCCUGCCCCCCCGGUCCCAGGAAGGGGUGGGUUUCAGCCAAAAAGCUGCACCAUAUGAUUUUGAAACGAACCGGUUCGGUCAGUUGGCUGUGCACUUGGAGACUAGAACACGAACAGCGGAGUCUGACCCCAGGAAUCGUACUGUCUGGGGAGGCGGGCGACAGCCUGAAAUUCUCGGAGCGCCAUCCCUGCCUGAAAUGGUGCAUCGCAAGGACAGACGGUGGAAAACGAAGCGUAAUUUACUGACUUAAGCUGCCCCUGGCCUUUUGUGGGGUGUUUGUAUUUUGUACAUUCUGCAGAAUGACGAGCCUGAGACGCAGCACGCUUAAAGAUGGUGACCUAGCUCUCGCACUGCAGCUUAGUCCGGGACGACAGAGGAGAGCAGCUAACCUCCGGGGGCCCGCCGCAGGCCACGCGUCUCUCGGGGGUUUGCCGGCCUGUGCCCUCCUUGCCAAGCAGUGAACGUCACUGCCCGGUUCUGCCUGCCCGUCACUGCCAAGCUGCCUGCCCGGUUGUACUUGACUCCUUCUGCGCCACCCGCUCUGUUGUAAUUAUCAGGACCGCUCCAGGAAGUCGGCCGAAUGCUGCAACGGCGUGGUUCUGUCACGUUCUUAGAACAACCCUGGGCGGCGGGUGGCGACUCCCUCUUGGGGACGAAGAAGCUGGAGGUUGGAUCCCUCGGCCAACAAUUGAAUGCACGUCCCCCGUCGCCGCCAGGCACCAAACCACGUGACCGGUGAGCUAUGUUUUGGACAAAGCUUCUGCUCGAGGACUGGCCAGGACCUCCCGGGAGAUCCCAGCUGCCCUCUGUGCCCAGGAUAUGUCUUUGCAGCUCCCGACCUCCCCACCCCAGCAGCGCCCCCGGGUUGUGCCAGUGUAGGAGGAAUCCCUUCCUAUUCCCCGAGGGUGCUUUCUGGGUUGCGGAGACCCAUCCAGAGAGGGACGCACGCAGCUGAGGGUCCGGAGGCUGAGGUGUGGAAAGAGUACUUUCACCCCCCACGUCAUUCCGCCUCCGAGGGCAGGGCCGGCGUCUGAGGGGGGCAGGGGUGUGGUGGUCGAGCGAUGGUCCUGGGGCCUGCGGGACUCCACCGUCUGCUUUCCAGCUUGUACCCGGCUCACUCGUAAGGCUCCUCGUGACCCCUGUGCGACCGAGACCUGGGGGGCAGCCUUGUACGCGGCUCCCGUGGAGUUGAGGUACGCCGAGAUGCGGCGCCACCCCCAGGGAAAUGUGACUGCACGUCACUUGGCCCCUGGCAGGUGGGGCAGGGGUGGGGGCCGUUUUCAGGAACUCUGCCAGCAGAUCCGGGCUCUGAGGCCGUCCCCCGCUCUGUGCGGUGGUGGCCUGUGGCCGGCGUGGUAGGUGUGGGUCCCCGGGCGGGGACGCCAGAGUGUGACCGGAAACGCUGUGGGAUGAGUGGUUGGCGGGCUUUUCAAAGCUUGCUGAGCACGUGUGGCUGAGGCGGUGGUUGGCGGAGUGGCGGGAGGUUUGGGGUGCGCCUGAACACGGGGGGCAGUGCCUGGGGGUGAGGACUGUGUCCUGGGUCACGGGGAGUCGCCGUGGCCUGGCGUGCCCCCAGCACGGCGCUGUCUUGCUCGGCGUCGGGCACUUGUCUGUCUUGCGGCGGGGGAGGGGGGCUCCUGCUGGCGGAGACCCCACCCUCCCGCCCUUUGCUCCGGCUCUUGACCCAGAGGCUCCUUCCUUCCACGCCCUGCUGCCGAGGGGAUGCUUCUGGGACCGGGGCUGGCCGGCCGCCAUCACCACGUCGGAGGGGAGGGGAGGUGGGGCUGCUGGUGACCCGUAUCGUCCCUCGGACCCCCUUCGGCUGGGCUUGCUGGCCGCCCCCUCGGGCUGCGGGGCCUUGCCGGGGAGGGCGUGCUGCCGGUUCUCCCUGCUCGCCCUCAGUCGCGCAGGGCAGACGAGCCGUGCUGGCGGAGGGGUGGCGUCCACACACGCGUGUGUCCCUCGUGCGGCCUGCGGGUCCGGCGCCUGAACACGCAGACGCUGUUCCACGUGCUGGCCCUGCCUGCCUGACUCCACCGUGCGGCCCAGUGCCACCUCGGGGGCUUGGGGCGGCCUGGGACAGGUGUGAGCCAGGCAGGGUCGGGCGAGCGCCCUGGGGCUGCUUCCUCCUCCCUGGACUCUGGCUUCUCCACUGCCGCGUCCUCUCGAGGUCCCUCUGCUGACACACUUCGCGGCUGGGGAAGGUGCUCCUGGCCCCGACCUCCAGCCGCCCCGUCGAGGGCCGCCAUGGUGGCUGAACACUGUCCCCUCGCCCGUCCCUCCCUCGGCCAGGUGCUGGGUGCUGGACGGGGCGGGCGCCUGGGCUGUGGUCAUGUUCGUCGACCUCGGCCGGUCGGCCACCCUCCCCGUGCAGUCCCUGUGCGGCCUGGACAGUGACAACUUCAGGGCCAUCCCCCCUCUGACUCAGCCAUUCAUGCUGGACAAAGGUGAGCCGCCCUCCACCCUCCUGAGAUGCAAGGGGCCUCAGCAGGACGGCCGGGGAGGGGGCGGCUGGAGGGCGGCCAGGGGGCA
Molecule: long non-coding RNA, 3684 nt
Organism: Felis catus (domestic cat)
Lineage: Eukaryota; Metazoa; Chordata; Mammalia; Carnivora; Felidae
Exons: 3
Source: RefSeq, a predicted model, not a curated record